Lepisosteus oculatus (spotted gar) is the source of this 1904-nucleotide long non-coding RNA. RefSeq lists it as uncharacterized. NCBI's taxonomy places the organism in Eukaryota, Metazoa, Chordata, Actinopteri, Semionotiformes, Lepisosteidae. The record is from RefSeq and is a predicted model, not a curated record.
CCUGCCACAGAAGAAACAGCAAUUCUACUUCUAUGUUUAUAGGCAGUGUAGAAGUUUCCCUUUGUCCUGGUUGAUCACCCUGGGGCACAUUGGAAUAUACAGCCCAGGAAGCUUCCAAGACAUUUGCCUGUGUCAACAGAGUAUGAAAUCCAUUCAUGAGGUUGAUUGCUGUGUUCAAGCAGUAAUGACAAUAACCGUGUUCUUCUGCGGGUGUUAGAAUAAUGACUACAUAAAAAAACGUUAGAUGGUGACCUAAACACCCCUCCUCUGGAACUUUUGAAACACGUUGGAGAUCGUCUUCGUCAAGACGAAUUGUUCUGUGCACUUCUACAACACGAUUGGUACUGUGGUGGCAACUGUAAGCAGCUGAAAUAGUGUUCCGUGAUGCUGUUGUCCCUGGAUGAGAGUAAAGGAGACUCACAAAUGCCAGCUCCUUGGUGGAGGAGCAGGUUAACUGGGGGAGAGAGGGAGGGCUGAUGAAGAUCUGGGACAACUGGAUGGUUCUGCUAGAGCGCAGGGCUGGGGUCUGCCUCCCACAAGGGGUCUGCCAAAGAGGGCUCCCUGAGACCACUGUCACUGUCUGAGAGGAGAACCCGAGUCCAUCUGAGCUCUCCUCUCCCACACAUUGCUUGCCACAUUAAAAACUGGUGUGAUGUGUCUGCUUUUUUAAAAACAACAUUCAGGCAGCUUGUAUUUUUCAACAAUCCCACAAACACAACAGUAUUAUGAUGGCAUUGUGAAGUGCUGUCAGAUUUCACAUGGAAAUAUACUGGAAAAUAGGCAUCAUAGACAGUAAAAUGAUUUUAUUCAGUUGAACCAGUAAUGAUGCAAACACAAUAGAUGAGUAUAAAUGAUACUAAAUGGAUGAAUAUUAUGCUGUUCAUCUACAACAUUACAUAUGCUCUUUCACAUUCCAUUCAUGAUCAUUUUAGUGAAAAAUGUUUUAGAAGAUGCCCCAAUAUUUCUUGUAAACCUACAAAAUAUUUCAGGUGGAACACACACUUCUAAUGAAGUGAACUAUUUUUAAAAUUUAAUUCAUAAAGAACUCCAUUGUAAAUGAGGAUGCACUUGAAAACCAACCAGAAUUAGUAUGCACUCAUUCAGGGGAAAAUACUACUUCAUUUGAUUGAUUUUUUUUCAUGAGAACACCUUAUUAAUUAGCUAUCUUAUUUCCUGGUAAAUACAAGGAAAGAUCACUGAAGCAGCAAGAAGAUAUCAUUAGAAAUUAGUGUUAAUUUAAAACACGUUAACGCUGUGGAAACUAAAAAAAGAUAUAUAAAGAUUUUUUAUUCAGCCAUAAACAAUUGCAUAAUUGAUCCAUUCAUAAAUAAUUAGGAAACACAGACACUUAUUUUAAAACUAUCCGUGAGUAAACUGCCUAUGAGGAUUUGAUCCCCAUUAUUUUGCAACCCUCAUUCAUACUUUAUGGCUGUGCAUCUCUGAAGUCAUAAAACAGUGAAUAUGCAUCUGUACUCUACGUGUCGCAACAGGUUCUUUGUUCUGGCUAUUUCAUUCCCUUGAUGUCACUGAGACCCAUCCAAAAGUUCUCAGGCACAAACAUUCACAUGUACCGCGAUAUUUCAUACAGUAAAUCAUAACCAAUGAUGUCUUGUGUGAGGGAAAAGAAGGAAGGCCGGGUGAAACUCAGGGAUUAACGGUGGCCCAAUAGGAUUCUCCACUGGUGCAGAAACAAGAGAUGGGCUUGCUCAGCUCACUGUGCUACGUAACAUGAAGAAAAACACAAAAACAGAAGAGACAUCUCUCCAGCGCAUGCUUGUCAGCAGCCGGCCUGAAAGACUGAUAUAUUUCACCAAUGAAAUUGUGUGAAAACUUCAAUGCGCUGUAUGAGUGCUGUUUGCAGUGAUGUGAAAUGAUUAAAACAAUAAAGAAGGUAACACAUCCUA